This 467-nucleotide ribosomal RNA is filed under the name uncultured bacterium. RNAcentral's name for it is "bacterial SSU rRNA". It matches the Rfam family "Bacterial small subunit ribosomal RNA", at positions 328 to 792 of the family's 1533-position model. The record is from RNAcentral.
GCCCCAGACUCCUACGGGAGGCAGCAGUGAGGAAUAUUGGUCAAUGGGCGCGAGCCUGAACCAGCCAAGUCGCGUGAGGGAAGACGGUCCUAUGGAUUGUAAACCUCUUUUGUCAGGGAGCAACGCCGGCUACGUGUAGCCGGACUGAGAGUACCUGAAGAAAAAGCAUCGGCUAACUCCGUGCCAGCAGCCGCGGUAAUACGGAGGAUGCGAGCGUUAUCCGGAUUUAUUGGGUUUAAAGGGUGCGCAGGCGGCACGGCAAGCCGGCGGUCAAAUCGCGGGGCUCACCCCCGCCCAGCCGUCGGAACUGCCGGGCUAGAGUGGGCGAGAAGUGCGCGGAAUGCGUGGUGUAGCGGUGAAAUGCAUAGAUAUCACGCAGAACUCCGAUUGCGAAGGCAGCAUACCGGCGCCCAACUGACGCUGAAGCACGAAAGCGUGGGUAUCGAACAGGAUUAGAUACCCCAGUA